Molecule: ribosomal RNA, 482 nt
Filed under: uncultured bacterium
Lineage: Bacteria
Description: partial 16S ribosomal RNA
Rfam family: Bacterial small subunit ribosomal RNA
Source: RNAcentral
GACGAACGCUGGCGGCGCGCCUAACACAUGCAAGUCGAACGAGAGAGGAAGAGCUUGCUUUUCCGAUCGAGUGGCGAACGGGUGAGUAACGCGUGAGGAACCUGCCUCAAAGAGGGGGACAACAGUUGGAAACGACUGCUAAUACCGCGUAAGCCCACGGCUCGGCAUCGAGCAGAGGGAAAAGGAGCAAUCCGCUUUGAGAUGGCCUCGCGUCCGAUUAGCUAGUUGGUGAGGUAACGGCCCACCAAGGCGACGAUCGGUAGCCGGACUGGGAGGUUGAACGGCCACAUUGGGACUGAGACACGGCCCAGGCUCCUACGGGAGGCAGCAGUGGGGAAUAUUGCACAAUGGGGGAAACCCUGAUGCAGCGACGCCGCGUGGAGGAAGAAGGUCUUCGGAUUGUAAACUCCUGUUGUUGAGGAAGAUAAUGACGGUACUCAACAAGGAAGUGACGGCUAACUACGUGCCAGCCGCCGCAGUAA